This 431-nucleotide ribosomal RNA is filed under the name uncultured bacterium. Its description in RNAcentral is "bacterial SSU rRNA". It matches the Rfam family "Bacterial small subunit ribosomal RNA", at positions 29 to 507 of the family's 1533-position model. The record is from RNAcentral.
AACGAACGCUGGCGGCAGGCUUAACACAUGCAAGUCGAGCGCCUCGCAAGAGGAGCGGCAGACGGGUGAGUAACGCGUGGGAAUGUACCCUUUGCUACGGAAUAGCUCCGGGAAACUGGAAUUAAUACCGUAUGUGCCCUUCGGGGGAAAGAUUUAUCGGCAAAGGAUCAGCCCGCGUUGGAUUAGCUAGUUGGUGGGGUAAUGGCCUACCAAGGCGACGAUCCAUAGCUGGUCUGAGAGGAUGAUCAGCCACACUGGGACUGAGACACGGCCCAGACUCCUACGGGAGGCAGCAGUGGGGAAUAUUGGACAAUGGGCGCAAGCCUGAUCCAGCCAUGCCGCGUGAGUGAUGAAGGCCCUAGGGUUGUAAAGCUCCUUCACCGGUGAAGAUAAUGACGGUAACCGGAGAAGAAGCCCCGGCUAACUUCGUG